Molecule: long non-coding RNA, 731 nt
Organism: Motacilla alba alba
Lineage: Eukaryota; Metazoa; Chordata; Aves; Passeriformes; Motacillidae
Exons: 3
Source: RefSeq, a predicted model, not a curated record
UGCCAGCAAGAGCCUUCCUGUCCUUAGCACACAGGAUUUCUGGGAUCCAAGGGUGUGACUGGAGAUGAGCUAUGAGCUGUGGGAUGGAUGUGCUAACAACCUUUGGCAGGAAGGAAAGGACUGGACCAGCAGUUCAUCCCGGCCGGAGACAUUCCAAGGCCGAGGAAUUGCCACGCCACGGAGUGGCUGUGAAGUGAGAGUCGGACCCAGUGGCAGAAACCAGGGUGAAACAUCUCACAAAGGCCAACUAUCGCCCAGCUUUCCCAAGCAGACAUUAUUCCAUGCCACAGCAUCGAAUACAAUUGGAGCCCAACUUGGAUUUGAAGUGGAAUCCCAGAGUUCUGGAAAGAGCCGUGGACAGACAUGGAUGUGGUUUGUCUGUGUUGUGGUGGCAGAGAUUUCCUGGCUUUGCAGGAGCCCUGUGGGGUUCCCAGCAUGGGCAGAGGGGUCAGCCAGGCUCUCCCAGCCGUGCCCACACCGCUCCCGGAGGAACGCGGGGGUGGUUCCACACCACAGAGCUCCAGUGAGAGAAGCCACAACCAACACGGACUCAAACCACCAGGGCAGCUAUGGAGUGGUUUAUGAACACCCAAAUUGGACAUCUGUUGGAACCCUGGUUACUGAGAAUUUUAGACUUUCUGUGCUGAGAGGCACUGACCCCCAAGAGAACACUGCACUUGACCUGAGGCUGUGGAGAUGGCUUCCAAAAUGGAAUGGUGGAACUGGGAUUG